UACGUAGGGUGCAAGCGUUAAUCGGAGUGACUGGGCGUAAAGGGCGCGUAGGCGGUUGUAAGGGUCUGAUGUGAAAGGCCUAGGCUUAACCUGGGAUGUGCAUUGGAAACUGUAUGACUAGAGUCUAGGAGAGGGAAGUGGAAUUUCCGGAGUAGCGGUGAAAUGCGUAGAGAUCGGAAAGAACCCUCGAGGCGAAGGCGGCUUUCUGGCCUAAGACUGACGCUGAGGCGCGACGGCGUGGGGAGCGAACAGG
Molecule: ribosomal RNA, 253 nt
Filed under: uncultured bacterium
Lineage: Bacteria
Description: partial 16S ribosomal RNA
Rfam family: Bacterial small subunit ribosomal RNA
Source: RNAcentral